Molecule: ribosomal RNA, 459 nt
Filed under: uncultured bacterium
Lineage: Bacteria
Description: partial 16S ribosomal RNA
Rfam family: Bacterial small subunit ribosomal RNA
Source: RNAcentral
CCUACGGGUGGCAGCAGUGAGGAAUAUUGGUCAAUGGCCGAGAGGCUGAACCAGCCAAGUCGCGUGAGGGAAGAAUGUUCUAUGGAUUGUAAACCGCUUUUGUCAGAGAGCAAACUCACACACGCGUGGCUGUCUGAGAGUAUCUGACGAAAAAGCAUCGGCUAACUCCGUGCCAGCAGCCGCGGUAAUACGGAGGAUGCGAGCGUUAUCCGGAUUUAUUGGGUUUAAAGGGUGCGUAGGCGGGUUAUGAAGUCAGCGGUAAAAUCGCGGGGCUCAACUCCGUACAGCCGUUGAUACUGGUGAGCUAGAGUGGGCGAGAGGUAUGCGGAAUGCAUGGUGUAGCGGUGAAAUGCAUAGAGAUCACACAGAACUCCGAUUGCGAAGGCAGCUUACCGGCGCCCGACUGACGCUGAAGCACGAAAGCGUGGGUAGCGAACAGGAUUAGAUACCCGAGUAGUC